GUGCUUACACAUGCAAGUCGAACGAUGAUGCCCAGCUUGCUGGGCGGAUUAGUGGCGAACGGGUGAGUAAUACGUGAGUAACCUGCCCUUGACUCUGGGAUAAGCCUGGGAAACUGGGUCUAAUACUGGAUACUACCGUCCACCGCAUGGUGGGUGGUGGAAAGGGUUUUACUGGUUUUGGAUGGGCUCACGGCCUAUCAGCUUGUUGGUGGGGUAAUGGCUCACCAAGGCGACGACGGGUAGCCGGCCUGAGAGGGUGACCGGCCACACUGGGACUGAGACACGGCCCAGACUCCUACGGGAGGCAGCAGUGGGGAAUAUUGCACAAUGGGCGGAAGCCUGAUGCAGCGACGCCGCGUGAGGGAUGACGGCCUUCGGGUUGUAAACCUCUUUCAGUAGGGAAGAAGCGAGAGUGACGGUACCUGCAGAAGAAGCGCCGGCUAACUACGUGCCAGCAGCCGCGGUAAUACGUAGGGCGCAAGCGUUGUCCGGAAUUAUUGGGCGUAAAGAGCUCGUAGGCGGUUUGUCGCGUCUGCUGUGAAAGCCCGGGGCUCAACCCCGGGUCUGCAGUGGGUACGGGCAGACUAGAGUGCAGUAGGGGAGACUGGAAUUCCUGGUGUAGCGGUGAAAUGCGCAGAUAUCAGGAGGAACACCGAUGGCGAAGGCAGGUCUCUGGGCUGUUACUGACGCUGAGGAGCGAAAGCAUGGGGAGCGAACAGGAUUAGAUACCCUGGUAGUCCAUGCCGUAAACGUUGGGCACUAGGUGUGGGGGACAUUCCACGUUUUCCGCGCCGUAGCUAACGCAUUAAGUGCCCCGCCUGGGGAGUACGGCCGCAAGGCUAAAACUCAAAGGAAUUGACGGGGGCCCGCACAAGCGGCGGAGCAUGCGGAUUAAUUCGAUGCAACGCGAAGAACCUUACCAAGGCUUGACAUUCACCGGACCGCCCCAGAGAUGGGGUUUCCCUUCGGGGCUGGUGGACAGGUGGUGCAUGGUUGUCGUCAGCUCGUGUCGUGAGAUGUUGGGUUAAGUCCCGCAACGAGCGCAACCCUCGUUCUAUGUUGCCAGCACGUGAUGGUGGGGACUCAUAGGAGACUGCCGGGGUCAACUCGGAGGAAGGUGGGGAUGACGUCAAAUCAUCAUGCCCCUUAUGUCUUGGGCUUCACGCAUGCUACAAUGGCCGGUACAAAGGGUUGCGAUACUGUGAGGUGGAGCUAAUCCCAAAAAGCCGGUCUCAGUUCGGAUUGAGGUCUGCAACUCGACCUCAUGAAGUCGGAGUCGCUAGUAAUCGCAGAUCAGCAACGCUGCGGUGAAUACGUUCCCGGGCCUUGUACACACCGCCCGUCAAGUCACGAAAGUUGGUAACACCCGAAGCCGGUGGCCUAACCCCUUGUGGGAGGGAGCCGUCGAAGGUG
RNAcentral lists this ribosomal RNA (1413 nucleotides) under Kocuria rosea subsp. polaris. RNAcentral describes it as "bacterial SSU rRNA". It matches the Rfam family "Bacterial small subunit ribosomal RNA". Lineage: Bacteria; Bacillati; Actinomycetota; Actinomycetes; Micrococcales; Micrococcaceae. The record is from RNAcentral.